UGAAGUUUCCUUCAGAGCUGGAACACAUAAUGAAGCAGUUAUAUCCGGUAAAGCGAAUGACCAGAAAAACUGCGGGAUAGAACUUUUGAACCUGUUCUCAAACUUUCAAUGAGUAUAACGUCUCGAUUGCAUGAAUGAGGCGUAAACAUUGAAUGUAUGCUUAAGUGAGCCAUUUUUGAUAAGAACUGGCGCUGUGGAAUGAACCAAACGCUGAAUUAUUAUCACGCUAUGUUCAGACGUGGAAAUUUUGAAAAAGAUGUGUAA
RNAcentral lists this non-coding RNA (264 nucleotides) under Onchocerca ochengi. Its description in RNAcentral is "Eukaryotic large subunit ribosomal RNA". It matches the Rfam family "Eukaryotic large subunit ribosomal RNA", at positions 962 to 1228 of the family's 3401-position model. The record is from Rfam by way of RNAcentral. Lineage: Eukaryota; Metazoa; Nematoda; Chromadorea; Rhabditida; Onchocercidae.